AGAGUUUGAUCAUGGCUCAGAGUGAACGCUGGCGGUAGGCCUAACACAUGCAAGUCGAACGGCAGCACAGGAGAGCUUGCUCUCUGGGUGGCGAGUGGCGGACGGGUGAGGAAUACAUCGGAAUCUACUUUUUCGUGGGGGAUAACGUAGGGAAACUUACGCUAAUACCGCAUACGACCUACGGGUGAAAGCAGGGGAUCUUCGGACCUUGCGCGAUUGAAUGAGCCGAUGUCGGAUUAGCUAGUUGGCGGGGUAAAGGCCCACCAAGGCGACGAUCCGUAGCUGGUCUGAGAGGAUGAUCAGCCACACUGGAACUGAGACACGGUCCAGACUCCUACGGGAGGCAGCAGUGGGGAAUAUUGGACAAUGGGCGCAAGCCUGAUCCAGCCAUACCGCGUGGGUGAAGAAGCCUUCGGGUUGUAAAGCCCUUUUGUUGGGAAAGAAAUCCAGCUGGCUAAUACCCGGUUGGGAUGACGGUCCCAAAGAAUAAGCACCGGCUAACUUCGUGCCAGCAGCCCGCGGUAAUACGAAGGGUGCAAGCGUUACUCGGAAUUACUGGGCGUAAAGCGUGCGUAGGUGGUCGUUUAAGUCCCGUUGUGAAAGCCCUGGGCUCAACCUGGGAACUGCAGUGGAUCUGGCGACUAGAGUGUGGUAGANGGUACCGGAAUUCCUGGUGUAACAAUGAAAUGCGUAAA
This 695-nucleotide ribosomal RNA is filed under the name uncultured Gammaproteobacteria bacterium. RNAcentral's name for it is "bacterial SSU rRNA". It matches the Rfam family "Bacterial small subunit ribosomal RNA", at positions 8 to 694 of the family's 1533-position model. Lineage: Bacteria; Pseudomonadati; Pseudomonadota; Gammaproteobacteria. The record is from RNAcentral.